Molecule: long non-coding RNA, 735 nt
Organism: Toxotes jaculatrix (banded archerfish)
Lineage: Eukaryota; Metazoa; Chordata; Actinopteri; Toxotidae
Exons: 3
Source: RefSeq, a predicted model, not a curated record
GAAAACACGUUGCACGGCAUGUAUGUUGGACAGACAAAAUAUAGUCAGGGCCCAGAAAAUGUUGACACGCAGGCCACAUAAUAAGGUAGCUUUUUAUUCUACAGCCUUGGUACUUGGGUUAAAUUUGUACUUUCUGUGCAAUUUGAUGCAAAUUAGAAACUGGAGAUUUGGCAACUGGAAACUGGUGAUUUAGACCGGGAAGUCCCUGGGCAUUCCAGUCACUGGAGUCUAAUGGGAUAAGGAGCAGUGGAGUCUCUGCAGGAUCUCCAGAGUCCGGCCGGAUGACCAGACAGGAGUCUUGGCUGCGCUCCAUGACUCGCUCCUUCAGUUUGUCUCCCCAGAUGUGUUUGCAGGCGUUAAAGAUGUCGUAGCUGUCACUGACCACUGAGACCGGUCCUGAGGAGAACUGGUCCAGGACUCGCUCAAAAGCCUCCUUCUCCCUACUCCUCCCCCAGGAGAUGAUCGUACUGGAUGAGAGGAUGAAAUAAUAUAAGAGACUGACAGAAUUGUCACAGCUGGACUUCAGGAAGUCGGAGUGCCUCAUAUGGUAUGGCCAGCAAUGUCCCCUGACCUGAACCCCACAGAGCAUGUCUGGGACCAGCUGAAGCAGAGACUGGAUGAUUGUACCCCACCCCCACGUGACCUGGCAGAACUGCGUGUAGCACUUGUGGAAGAGUGGAACGCAUUGCCUCAGAACAACAUCAUGAGGCUACUGAGGAGCAUGAGACAUCGCUG